Molecule: long non-coding RNA, 166 nt
Organism: Etheostoma cragini (Arkansas darter)
Lineage: Eukaryota; Metazoa; Chordata; Actinopteri; Perciformes; Percidae
Exons: 3
Source: RefSeq, a predicted model, not a curated record
CACCUAUUCUGGGGUAAAUGAACCACCAACUCCCACUGACCUGACAGAGCAACACAACCGGCAGUUUUCGAGGCUCUGUACCCAGUACACAGUCACCUAUUCUGGGGUAACUAGACCACCAACUACCGCUGACCUGACAGAGCACCGCGACAGGCAGCUCAGUGGU